This 458-nucleotide ribosomal RNA is filed under the name uncultured bacterium. RNAcentral's name for it is "partial 16S ribosomal RNA". It matches the Rfam family "Bacterial small subunit ribosomal RNA", at positions 338 to 795 of the family's 1533-position model. The record is from RNAcentral.
CCUACGGGAGGCUGCAGUGAGGAAUAUUGGUCAAUGGGCGAGAGCCUGAACCAGCCAAGUCGCGUGAGGGAGUACUGCCCUAUGGGUUGUAAACCUCUUUUGUCGGGGAGCAAAAGCCGGACGUGUCCGGCUGUUAGAUUACCCGGAGAAAAAGCAUCGGCUAACUCCGUGCCAGCAGCCGCGGUAAUACGGAGGAUGCGAGCGUUAUCCGGAUUUAUUGGGUUUAAAGGGUGCGCAGGCGGAUUUUUAAGUCAGCGGUCAAAUCGUGGGGCUCAACCCCAUCCCGCCGUUGAAACUGGGGAUCUAGAGUGUGCGAGAGGUAUGCGGAAUGCGUGGUGUAGCGGUGAAAUGCAUAGAUAUCACGCAGAACCCCGAUUGCGAAGGCAGCAUACCGGUGCACAACUGACGCUCAGGCACGAAAGCGUGGGUAUCGAACAGGAUUAGAUACCCCAGUAGUC